Long non-coding RNA from Onychostoma macrolepis, 423 nucleotides. RefSeq lists it as uncharacterized. The transcript has 3 exons. Lineage: Eukaryota; Metazoa; Chordata; Actinopteri; Cypriniformes; Cyprinidae. The record is from RefSeq and is a predicted model, not a curated record.
GUUUGUGUUCUACUGAAGAAACAAAGUCACCUACAUCUUGGAUGUCCUGGGGACAGCCCCAGCAACCCCCUGCCAGCCUUUCCUGGAGUCCACCAGCUGUCGAGGGAGUUGUUGCGAUGGAUAUGGAUGGGGAAGGUCAUGUGGCAUCACUUGCAGAUGGGUGAUUGUGUUCAUAUACUGUAGUUACCAUAGGGAGAGCGACUAGGGUGUGCGUGAGACCUGAAGUGGGUAUUGGAUAAUGACAGCAGAGGCUUGCGUGGGUCAUGGCCUUGCCCACCUACAGCACAGGGCCGUGGGCCGGGACUUCCGCCGAAGCAGGCUGGGAGGGGAGGGACAGCCGGCUAAUUACACCCUACAUCUGAGUGAAAGGCAUUCCUGAGGUCUGGUGUCAGUGCCACUACUCCACCCCUACCCGCCUCCAUC